UGCCAGCCGCCGCGGUAAUACGGAGGGUGCAAGCGUUGUUCGGAAUUACUGGGCGUAAAGCGCGCGUAGGUGGUUUGUUAAGUCAGAUGUGAAAGUCCACGGCUCAACCGUGGAAGUGCAUUUGAAACUGGCAGACUUGAGUAUUGGAGGGGGUAGUGGAAUUCCCGGUGUAGAGGUGAAAUUCGUAGAUAUCGGGAGGAAUACCGGUGGCGAAGGCGACUACCUGGCCAAAUACUGACACUGAGGUGCGAAAGCGUGGGGAGCAAACAGGAUUAGAUA
RNAcentral lists this ribosomal RNA (279 nucleotides) under uncultured bacterium. Its description in RNAcentral is "partial 16S ribosomal RNA". It matches the Rfam family "Bacterial small subunit ribosomal RNA", at positions 506 to 784 of the family's 1533-position model. The record is from RNAcentral.